GGGAAACUGGGGUCAAUUUCCGAUAGGUGAAAAUUCCUGGAAAGGUUUUUUGCCCAAAGGGCGUUUGGAGCAUGUUUUCAAGCGUUGCCUAAGGAUGGGGCCGCGACCGAUCAGGUUGUUGGUGAGGUAAUGGCUCACCAAGCCUAUUACCGGUUCGGGCCGUGGGAGCGGUAGCCCGGAGAUGGGUGCUGAGACAAGAACCCAGGUCCUACGGGGCGCAGCAGUCGCGAAAACUUCGCAAUAAGCGAAAGCUUGACGGGGCUAUCCCGAGGUGCCGUCUUGCUUGAAGAUGGCUUUUACCUAGUAUAGAUAGCUAGGAAGAAUUAAGGAGGAGGCCAAGUCUGGUGGUCAGGCCGGCCGCGGUAAUAACCAGCUUCUUCCGAAGUGGGUUGGAUAAUUUAUUUGGGCCUAAAAGCAUCCGGUGGCCGCUUGACCAAGUCCCUUGUUAACACCCAGGCGAUUUAAUCGUUGUCCUGCGGGGGAAUACUUGUCCGGCCUUGGGGGCGAAGAAGAGGCCGUCGGUAUUUUCCGGGGUAAGGGGUGAAAUCUUUAUAAUCCCCGGGAAGGACCACCAGGUGGCCGAAGGCUGGUCGGGCUUAGAACGGCGCUCGACGGGUGAGGGGAUGGAAAGCUGGGGGAGCGAAACCGGAUUAGGAUACCCGGGUAGGUCCCAGCUGGUAAACGAUGCAGGCUAAGGUGUUAGAAGCGGCUACGUUGCCGCUUCUAGGUGCCCGCAGGGAAAGCUGUUAAGCCUGCCGCCUGGGGAGUACGGGCCGCAAGGCUGAAACUUAA
RNAcentral lists this ribosomal RNA (792 nucleotides) under uncultured archaeon. RNAcentral's name for it is "bacterial SSU rRNA". It matches the Rfam family "Archaeal small subunit ribosomal RNA", at positions 134 to 859 of the family's 1478-position model. The record is from RNAcentral.